RNAcentral lists this long non-coding RNA (523 nucleotides) under Brassica napus (rape). RNAcentral describes it as "long non-coding RNA (BNAP_LNC021888)". Lineage: Eukaryota; Viridiplantae; Streptophyta; Magnoliopsida; Brassicales; Brassicaceae. The record is from RNAcentral.
GGGUCAGAUCACUACCAGAGAAGAGAGCACCACCUUACACUCAAGGACGUGCAUACCUAACGAGUACACAUUCAUAAAUAACACCAGGAGAGAAGAUCAUCGAGAUAGACCUGAAGCACACGAACAUCACCAACACAUAAACCAAAUCGAGAGAGGUUAAAAUCCUUAACCGUCGCUGCACACAUCCUUCAAUCCCAACUAAGACUCGCCAUUGAACCUUGAUUGUGCUCUCCAUGCGCCUCAUACGCCCAACACCCCACAUCGAAGUGUAUAAAAGCUUACUGAACACGUCUUAUUCACACAACCGAUAGUUGGAUAAAAACCACUCCAAAUCCAGAACAAUCACAAACAAAUCUAGGUGGCAAUUGACCAACAAGGAGCACUCGCUCCUAAAAACUUCUAUCUACCUCCGAUUCUCCUCGAAACUAGCAUUCAUUUUAUAUAGCUCCUUCCUUAAAACUAGCAUUCAUUUUAUAUAGCUCGUGAGAAAAUAUUAUCGUUAUGUCACAUCAUUUUUUAUAAU